This 470-nucleotide long non-coding RNA is filed under the name Linum usitatissimum (flax). RNAcentral's name for it is "long non-coding RNA (LUSI_LNC007182)". Lineage: Eukaryota; Viridiplantae; Streptophyta; Magnoliopsida; Malpighiales; Linaceae. The record is from RNAcentral.
AAGAUUUUCCCAGACAAACAUGUAAAAGGGCCUCUUAUUACCCUUAUUGUUGUGUCAACCAAAUCGAAGGAUGAGACGAAAUCAUGUCUUCAUCGGAAUGUUACCUUAAUGUGGUUUUUAACAUAGGCAGAGAAGUUCAAUAAGCUCCAUACUGUCUUCUCUAGCUUUUUACCUUCAACAUGACGUGAGGAAAUAUCUGCAAGUGGAUAGAAUCACAGUUCAAAAUGUUAGUUAUAUUGAUUACUUCUUCUAGCUUUGUAUUCUGUCUAUUGUCAUUAACUCUCAUGUGUUCCUCAUUUAUUUGUUUUGUAAUGGUUCCAGGAUAUGUUGAAUUACCAAAACUGACGAACCCGCCAUUUGUGCUCAAAUCUUGUAUAGACUCUCCCCUCAAUUCCGGUGGUGGUAUAGGUGACCAGGUACAGGGUGGCGCUUUGGCCCAUCUCUUUGAACUACCCACGUCCAUAAGUUCC